This 275-nucleotide ribosomal RNA is filed under the name uncultured Eubacteriales bacterium. RNAcentral describes it as "uncultured Clostridiales bacterium partial 16S ribosomal RNA". It matches the Rfam family "Bacterial small subunit ribosomal RNA", at positions 71 to 339 of the family's 1533-position model. The record is from RNAcentral. Lineage: Bacteria; Bacillati; Bacillota; Clostridia; Eubacteriales.
AAGUUUUCGGAUGGAAUCAGUAUAACUUAGUGGCGGACGGGUGAGUAACGCGUGAGUAACCUGCCUUUCAGAGGGGGAUAACGUUCUGAAAAGAACGCUAAUACCGCAUAACAUAUGUUUAUCGCAUGGUAGAGAUAUCAAAGGAGCAAUCCGCUGAAAGAUGGACUCGCGUCCGAUUAGCCAGUUGGCGGGGUAAUGGCCCACCAAAGCGACGAUCGGUAGCCGGGUUGAGAGACUGAACGGCCACAUUGGGACUGAGACACGGCCCAGACUCC